RNAcentral lists this ribosomal RNA (250 nucleotides) under uncultured prokaryote. Its description in RNAcentral is "partial 16S ribosomal RNA". It matches the Rfam family "Bacterial small subunit ribosomal RNA", at positions 524 to 773 of the family's 1533-position model. The record is from RNAcentral.
UACGUAGGGGGCAAGCGUUAUCCGGAUUCACUGGGUGUAAAGGGAGCGUAGACGGAAUGUCAAGCCAGAUGUGAAAAUCCGGGGCUCAACCCCGGACCUGCAUUUGGAACUGAUGUUCUAGAGUACCGGGUGGGCAGGCGGAAUUCCUGGUGUAGCGGUGAAAUGCGUAGAUAUCAGGAGGAACACCGGUGGCGAAGGCGGCCUGCUGGACGGAUACUGACGUUGAGGCUCGAAAGCGUGGGGAGCAAAC